RNAcentral lists this ribosomal RNA (268 nucleotides) under uncultured marine eukaryote. RNAcentral describes it as "partial 18S ribosomal RNA". It matches the Rfam family "Eukaryotic small subunit ribosomal RNA", at positions 620 to 893 of the family's 1831-position model. The record is from RNAcentral.
GGUAAAAAGCUCGUAGUUGGAUUUCUGUGGAAAACGUCCGGUCCGCACUUCGUGCGUGUAUCUGGCACGGUUUCUGCAUCCUCGCGGGGAACGUUUGCGCUUCAUUGCGUGGGCGGGAUUCGUGACUUUUACUUUGAGGAAAUUAGAGUGUUCACGGCAGGCUUUCGCCUUGAAUACAUUAGCAUGGAAUAAUAAUAUAGGACCUUGGUUCUAUUUUGUUGGUUUCUAGAGCUAAGGUAAUGAUUAAUAGGGAUAAUUGGGGGCAUUC